CAAAUUGUUUUUUUUAUUUAUUUUUGUUUUUAUAUUAAUAAUAAUAAUAAUAACAGUAAUAAUAACUAAUAAUGCUAACAAUACAAUUUUAGAGAAAGAGACAAAAGCUGUUGCAGAGAUGCACUCAGAGAAUUCAUAGUCUGGCCCAUACCGAAGUUGCUCUCGGUGUGUAGUGGGCGCCUUGUGUGGCAGCACCCUGACAUCAGGGUGAAUGUGAGGCAUUGAUUUGUAAAGUGCUUUGACCAUCUGAUGCAGAUGGAAAACUGCUAUAUAAAUGCAGUCCAUUUACCGUUUACCCAUCUCCCCAUUACAGGUGUUUCUGAAUAUUGCAAACACAGUAGCAGCACUGAAAAAAAAACGCGCAGUUGAUCACAAUCAAAAGAAGCACUCUACAUCAUCCUAGCUCUUCUUGAGUUAUAGUUAAUGAGAAAUACAUUUUUUGGACUGCAUAAUGUCACACAAUGGCAUAUACUGACAUCACAAUGUCGUGUAAAAAUCAGCAUGUGGUUGAUUCAUUUGAAAUGGGACCAGCCUACCUUUGUUUUGAUGUUAUUAUAGAAAAUGUAAUUUAUUUUUUCAGUCAUUUAAUGUCACAUGAAUUCAUUGUGUGGCAUCAUGAUUGUGUUAUGUAUUUAUUUAUUUUAAAUCUCAGACACAAUGUGAAAUAGACAAGAAAGCUAAAGCACCAAAAACAACACAUAAUAUCGAUUAAAUAAUAAUAAAUAAAUAUGUUCUAGAAGGAGCAGAAAUCCUUAUGGAGUCUUACCCAUUCCUCUGUUUUAAAUGUUCAAAAAGACCCCCCCCCCCCCCCCC
Thalassophryne amazonica is the source of this 813-nucleotide long non-coding RNA. RefSeq lists it as uncharacterized. The transcript is spliced from 2 exons. NCBI's taxonomy places the organism in Eukaryota, Metazoa, Chordata, Actinopteri, Batrachoidiformes, Batrachoididae. The record is from RefSeq and is a predicted model, not a curated record.